Molecule: non-coding RNA, 7838 nt
Organism: Callithrix jacchus (white-tufted-ear marmoset)
Lineage: Eukaryota; Metazoa; Chordata; Mammalia; Primates; Cebidae
Source: RefSeq, a predicted model, not a curated record
AGGCCUGGGAAGGGGUGGGGGAGGGGAUGUGGGCAGACAGGGCACAGGACAGGGUGGGAAGGGAGGAUGAGAAGAUACAGGGUGUCAGCCAGGACUAUGGCCCAGAGAAGAAGAGCUGAGAGGAGACGGGGAGGUGGGAUCUGCACCCCAUGCCCACCACAGUGCUGUUGGGGAGAAAGUGCUGGACUCCCUGGGCUUCCUCUGUCAAGGAAAGGGUUUGGACCUCACAAUUGCCAGACCCUCCAGCACUAACACUGCAUAAAUUCCUGAUCUGUCUAAAGUGUUAUAGAAAAAGGAGGAAUUUUUAUAACCACAAAUUCAAAAUUUUAACUUUGUUUUCCAGGUCUCUCACCCUUUCCUGAGAAAAGUUAGAAGCUCAGAAAACUCAGGGCUGUUCCCAGAUGAGAAAACGCAGGCAGAGAGAGAUUAAAGAUCUUGCCCAGUGACACAAUGGAAGUCCUCAAGCUGUGUUCCAACUCAGGCCUGUGUGACUCUGGAGCCCACACUCCUACCCAUUGUCUAAGUGGUUAUUAUCAUGGUCAGAUUCCAACUUUUAAAACCUGGUGGGAAACAAAACCUUUUGGCUUCUAAUCAGACUGACAUUUUCCUUUGGACAGACCUCAGCUUUGGAUGUAGUCCUGGGUAGAUAGUGGGUAGAUGACUUUGAACAGAGAAUAUGGAGCAAACAGAUUUUGCCUUGGGGUCAGGGUCACCUCCAGUUGAGGGAGAAGUGGGAGGGAAUGGCUGACUGCGGAUGGGGUGCAGGAACUCUCAGCCCUCACCUCCGCCUCCUCCAGGGCUGACUGUAGCUCCAGCUUCUCCACCUCCAGCUGUUUGCGGACCUUCUCCAGCUCAUGCACAUUCUUUCCUCCUUCUCCCAGCUGCUCAGUAAGGUCCGAGAUUUCCUCUGGGAAGCAGAGGGCCAGAAAGCUCAAAGCCUGUGUUCCCUCUGCCCCAGCAUGGCCCUCCCUCCUACCAGCCCAUCUGUGGCCUCUUGAGCCCCCAGCACACCCUGAAGGUUCUUGUUCUCCCGCUUGAAGGUCUCCAGGUGCUCCAGGGACUCCUCGUAGGCGUUCUUGAGCUUGAAGAGCUCGGUGCUGAGGGAGCGCGCCUCCUUCUGCGACGACUCCAGCUCCGACUGUGACUCCUCAUACUUCUGCUUCCACUCAGCCAGGAUCUGUCCGGGGAAGAGACUCACUCUUCAGCCCCCCAGCCUCAGCCCCCUGGCCCUCCUGCUUCCCAGCGCCCCAACCCCUAGCCUCAGCCCCAUAUCCAAGGUCUGUCCCUUGCUCCCAGUCUGGACUCAGGCCUCCUCUCCCACCUCCAAGGAGGACAGCUCUGGCCUUGCCCUGAAGCCCUCACACUACCCACGGCCCACCCGUCGGCUGGCUGUGGCCCCCACCCAUGGCCCACCUUGUCGAAGUUCCUCUGCUUCUUGUCCAGGGCUGCAGCAGCCGCAUUGGAGCGCUCCACGUCCACCAUCAGGUCCUCAAUCUCAUUCUGUAGCCGGUGCUUGGUCUUCUCCAGCGAGGAGCACUUGGCAUUAACGGCCUCCACGGCCUCCUCAGCGUCCUGCAGCCGCUGGGCCAGCUUCUUCCUGCCCAGGUGAGGGUGGAGGGUGUGUGUGUGAUUCCACUGGGCAACAGUGGAGCUUUGGGUGGACCUCCUCCCACUCCCUCCCUGUAUCUCCUUAAGAUACCAUAAGUCCAGCCUAGAGGGAGCUGAGCCUGCUGGCACCUGGAACAGAGUCCACCAGCAUGGGCUGCCCGGGCAUCCUUCCUACCUGCAGUGGCAUCUGGGUAUCAGUGGCCCCUGCCCUCGCCCCCCACACAGGCUGAUCGACGGUAGCUCCUCUGACCAACAAGCUUUUUGCUCGUCUUAUACGUGAGCAUCAGGUAUAACCCGGGCCAAAAGCUCGCCCGUCACAGGAAGUGGGUCAGGGCCAGCCAGGUUCACAGAGCAAAGGAUCCAGGCUUUCUUCCAAGCACCUCUGUUGCUCUCUGAGUUCCUCCUGUCUCUCUCAGCUCCCUCCCAUGAUCACUCUGCCUGUCCCCACCCCAGGUCCUCUUGCUCCUUCCUCUCUCAGAGCCAGGUUAAGGGGGCAUCUGGAGCUCACUUGGCCUCCUCGAGCUCCUCAGUCCGCUGGAUGGCGUCCGUCUCAUACUUGGUCCUCCACUGGGCCACCUCCGAGUUGGCCUUGGACAGGACACGCUGCAGCUCGGCCUUGGCCUCAGUCUCCUCCUCAUACUGCUCUCGCAGCAGGUCGCAGUCGUGCCGGGCCGACUGCAGUGCAUGGGCCAGGGCGUUCUUCGCCUGGGGAGGGGUGGGCACCAGGAGGUAGGAGGGACUCCCUGUGCCCCAUUCUCCAGAUCCUUCUCUUGUAGUACUUCAUCCAAGCCCAGCCUUAUUCAGCAUGUGGGCUGAUGUGGAAACUGUCUGAGGAGUUUCCCAGUUUGCCCACCCCCAUCCUCUUAUAAAUAGGAAAAGAGGCAUUAGAUGAUGCUUAGCUGCAGGACAGAAGCUAGACUGGAGGCCCUUUCCCUUGCAGAGGACUCUCCCCAGCCCCAGGCUCCAUUUUUGGUAUUGAGGUGAAUGCCCCAGGGCUGCCGUCAAGCCCGCCCACCCUCCUGCCUGGGCCUCACCUUGCCCUCCUCCUCCAGCUGCCUUUUGAGGUCCUCCAUUUGCUGGGUAUAGGAGAGCUUCCCCCGGGUCAGCUGUGAGAUUAGUGCCUCCUUUUCUUCUAGUUGCCGGGCCAACUCUCCUGGAGGUAAAAUGAGGGGCUUGUGGGCCAUUCCACAAGUCAUGUCCUACUCUAGGCAGGCAGGACUGAUUAGGGGCACCCACCAUUCUCAGUCUGCAGCUUGGCUCGCUGGGUAGUGAAGUCGUUGAGGGAGCGUUGGGCCUCUUCUAGCUUCACGCGGUACUCAUUGGCCUGGUCCUCCAGCGUCCGAGACACUUUCUCCAGGUUUGCCUUCAGGAAGCAAAGGACAGGAAGGUUGAGUGUGGGAGAGGCUGAGUUGAGCAGAGGAAGGAAGACAGGGUCAGAGAUGGGGAACACCAGAGGGCAGGAGGGGGACACGGAAGGUGUGGGAUGGCGCAGUCUGAAGAGGGACUUGAAUUAAAGAUGGGAGGAAGAUGGAGAUAAAGAUGUAGAGGAGAGCCAGCGAGGAGGCAGAGGAGAGAGGAAGAGAGACCAAAGGGUGACAAGGGGAAUGAAAAUGACAAAGGAGAUGGCAGACAGAGACAGAAGGUGUGGGGGAGGCUCCGCUGUGCAGGGGAGAGGUCAAGGAGAGGCUGAGCAGAGCCUGCCUUGGCCUUGAUGAUAUGCUCCAUGUUGGAGGUGACGUCGUCCAGCUCCAGCUUGAACUCGCUCUUCUCCUUCUCCAGCUUCUGCUUCACCCGCUGCAGGUUGUCAAUCUGCUCGCUCAGCUCGGCCACGCUGUCUGCGUGCUUCUUGCGCAGGGCCGCGGCAGUGGCCUCAUGCUGCAGCGUGGCCUCCUCCAGGUCCCGCCGCAUCUUCUGGAACUCAGCCUCACGCUUCUUGUUCAUCUCAAUCUGCACUGAUGUGGCUCCGCCAGCCUCUUCCAGCCGCUCGCUGAUCUCUUCCAGCUCCCGGGACAGGUCUGAGCGCAGCUUCUCCACCUUGGCCCUGGCGGUGCGCUCAGCCUCCAGCUCCUCCUCCAGCUCCUCAAUUCGUGCCUGGGCCAGACACAAAGGGCUCAGACCCACCUCCUGGACCCCUCUACUGGAAUCCCCCUGGGCUCUAAAAGGCUACCAGGCACUCAGGUACCUCUUGAGUAGUGGUUCUCAACUAGGGGCAAUUUUGUGCCCCAGGGAAUUGUUGGCAAUGUCUGAUUGUCAUGAUUUGGUGGGGCUUGCUACUGGCAUCUAGAGGGUAGAGGCUAGGGAUGGUGCUAAACAUUCUAUAAUGCAUAGGCCAUCAAUGAAUUUGGUUGAAGCCAAAUCUUCAAGGCAUUUCCUGAGGGCAUCUCAGGCCCAGUCUGAGCAUCUACAGCCCUGGAUCCUGAGAAUCUGUUUUGAGGGAGAUCCUGGGAUCCUGUUAGAUCAAGAAUUUCAGAGUCUCCAGAUUCACUAGGCUGUGUUCCAUCCAUAAGACAGGAAAGUGAAUACUUGUAUUUUACAAAUAUUUGCAACAAUAUGCCUCGAAACUAUCAAAUAUCUUUGCAAUUCUCCAAGUUAACCACAGUCCCAAUUAGCCAUAUUCCUCACUCUCCAGGGCUUCCUGUGUUUAUUCCCAGGGCUGGGUUUCAACAUGAUUGCCCUCUUUCAGACCAGGAAAGUGCUAGCAGGAUGCUCUCCUGUUCACAUCAUCUCAUCCUCUUCAAAUGCUCCUGCCUCACUUUUCUGGUCUUAGCCUUGGUCUUGACUAAAUUGUAAGAAUAUCCUAUCUAUCAUUUUGAUCUGUUGUCUGGUUAGUCAGGAACAAAGUGGGGGUUCAGUGGCGAUCCCUUCUCCUGGGGUUAUGGACAGCUUUAAUGGACUGUUCAUGGAUGGGUCCUAGGAGCAGAAGAGAGGACCACCAUGCCUCUGCUCCUAGGAUGGAGAAGGUGGGACUUCUGAACAAGAUUUUGGGCAUGAAGGAGGAGCCACAGCCUCUUGCCAAUACCUCAUGAGAUUUAUGGGACUGUUAUCCUGGGUCCAAGAAGCCAAAUAAGUUUCCCAGACCCCGGGUAGAAGAGGCUGAGGAUGGCCCAGUGGUCUAUCUAAAAUCCAGAAGGGGCAUCCAAAAAGAUAGGAAGGCAAAUUGUUACUGAAGUCAGGCCAGUCCCUGUGCAGCCCCAGAGGAGUGGAAUUGUGUUCAUACAUUACUUGCAGCCUGGGCCAUGGGCCUCAAGUGCAGAGGGGAGACUACCUCUUUCUACCAACCACAGUCUGCCCCAAAAUGAGAGGACAAGGUCUUGCCCCAGUAGCUGAGUUCCUGUUGCCCUUGGGGUCACUAUAUCCAGAACUGGCCAUGUAGCUUCUGUAGCUAUAAAAUGGGGAUGGCAGUCCUUGCCUUGUGGACUUCCAAAGGUCUUCUGACAAACCCAAUACUAAAAGCAUAUUGACGUCUGAGUUUCAUUAAAGCUAAGAGAGACUAUAGCUGUUCACUCAAUCCUGACCUGAGAGGAAUGAGAAGGCUAUGGAGAAGACACAACAAUACCUCCUUAGGCUAGUGGCUGGUUGACUUCUCUCAACUGGGCUAUAUUAAAAUGACACUUACAUAGUGUUUCCUAGUUGACAAAGUGGUUUCAAAUACAUUAUCUCCUCUGAUCCUGUGUGAUAGGUAUUGUCAGUCGCAUUUUAUAGGAGAGAUGAGAAUCUGAGGAUCAGGGAGGGUAAGCGAUUUGCUCAAUGUUACAGGAAUUGGCUCCUAUCAUGAGUGCCCUAUGGGGAGUCAGCCUGGAUUAGUGGCUGGGGUUAGUACCAGGAAGAAUAUGAAUAGAGCAGCUCACAGGAAGGUGCUCCUUGAAGGUUUUUUUCUGCCCCCUGCCCCCAUUCAGAGGGCAGAACUACUAGAGCAAGGGUUAGAGGAGAAUAGAGCCCUAUCACUUGUAUUAGAGCAGAAACUCCAUGAGGCAGAGCAGAUCUCAGAAGGCGAAGCCCUUUAGUAGGUAUGACUCUCCCUUCUCAAAUAGUGUUUCUCACAUAAUGUAUUCUUGCUCUACGGGGGAAAGCUGGUGUUCCUGAGUGCCUGUAAGUCAGGGAUGGUUGGGUCUAUGAGGCUGCCUGGAGUUCCAGAUAUUGUGUAGAACUCUAAGCAGCUGCUGUAGUCUCAGUCAACUCAGGGCUAUUGAGCUUCCACUUUCCUGCACUAGGAAGAAUGUUACCUGGUUUUCCUUCAGUUUCUUUUGCAGCUGAAGGGCCAGUGCCUGUUCAUCCUCUAUCUUACUGUUCAGCUGAUUAAUGUCAAACUCCUUCCUGCAGGAGAAGGGUGGGGGUGGGGAAGGGACAAGUGGUCUUCCUUCUUCUGGGGCUCAUUCUCUUCUUGGCCUCAGCAUGCCAGAAUCAGCAUGUCCCCAUCCUCCCACCAGCCCAGAGAGUGGAGGAAGAGGGCUCUAAUUGACCUUAUUCCCAGUGUGCCCACGGCAACUGUGGGCAGUGGGGGUGCAGCACCCUGCACUCUAUCCACCAGACCAGAUGCCUCCAUUAGCCCCUCCUGGCUACCACAGUCUCCCCCUGCACUCUAUCCACCAGACCAGACACCUCCAUUAGCCCCUCCUGGCUACCACAGUCUCCCCCUGCACUCUAUCCACCAGACCAGAUGCCUCCAUUAGCCCCUCCUGGCUACCAUCGUCUCCUACUUUUUGAGCUUUUCGUCCAGCUGCAGUUUGUCAUUCUCCAGGUCCAUGAUGCUCUCCUGGGUCAGCUUUAGGUCACCCUCCAGUUUCCGCUUUGCUCGCUCCAGGUCCAUGCGCACCUUCUUCUCUUGCUCCAGGGAUCCUUCCAGCUGAAAAAAGAAAAAAAGCAAUGUGUGGAAUACAUAAAAUCCAUAGAGCAUGCUCUUUUGUCUCCUUCCAAACUUGAAGUCCAGUGGGAUUGGAAGUCAAACCAGUAGAGAAAUCCUGCAAGCACAAAGGAUUCAGAGACCUACCCUAGUGUAGAGCAAAAAAGCUCCAAGUUGCCUGCAAAAUCUUGCUCUGAGAGAGGGAACAGAGUUCUUACUACUCACAUCAUCCACCUGCUGCUCCAGCUUGACCUUAGACUUGGACAGGCUGUUGACCUUGUCCUCCUCGGCCUGAAGGUCAUCCAGGGCCUGCUGGUGGGCCUCUUGUAGAGCUUUCUUCUCCUUAGUUAGCUUGGCAAUGAUCUCAUCCAGCCCAGCCAUCUCCUCUGUUAGGUUCUUCACCUGCCGACCAAGAACCCGUCUCCUUUAGGGUCAAAGAUCACCAGCUUGGAGACAUCUAUGGGGAGCUCCAUGCCAAGGACCAGGACUACAUUUUGGUCUGGGAGUCUUGAGGAGAUCUGGGCUGGAGCCACACGGAGCUGCCCUCACCUUGUUCUCUGUUGCGUGCUUCUCCUUCUCCACCUUGGCCAGUGUCAGCUCCAGGUCAUCGAUGUCUUUCUUGAGCUCUGAGCACUCGUCUUCCAGCUUGCGCUUCUUGGCGGUGAGCUCAGCGUUCAUCUCUUCCUCGUCUUCCAGCCUCUCAUUCAUCUCCUUCACUUUGGCUUCCAGCUGAAUCUUGUUUUUGAUCAGCUGGUCGCAGCGCUCCUCAGCGUCAUUGAGGUUGUCUUGUUCCUGGGAGAAGAGAACAGGGAGGAAGUUGAUGGUUAGAGAGGAGACCUAGGGUCUUAAAAAGAGCUGGUACUCCUGGACUCCCAGCCCCUGGUUAUGAGAUGGGCUAUAAUCUAGGGGAGGGGAGAGGAGGGCUGAAGAGAUUAUCAUGUGGCCUCACCGCCUGCACUUGGAGCUGCAGGUCGUUCUUCUCCUGCAGCAGGGACACCAUCUUCUCCUCCAGCUCCUUGCGGCGAGCCUCGGACUUCUCCAGCGUCUCUUUGACGCGCCCGAACUCCUCCUUCAUGGUGGCCAUCUCCUUCUCCGUCUCUGCGCUCUUCAGCAGCGGCUUGAUCUUGAAGUAGAGCUUCAUCCAGGGCCAAUUCUUGACCCCCAUGAAGGCUCGAAUGUUCCACUGGAUUACUAGCAGGGCAUCCCUGACGAGGAGACAGGGUGGAGCACUAUGAAACAGCGCUUCCCAAUCAUGGGCCCGACUAAGCCAGUUUGUAGGCACAUAGCCUUCCUUCCUGUGCACGCCCACCCCCAACAUCACUACAAUGAACACGGAGUUGCUUGAUAAAUAUUUAUUAAUCAAUUUAAUGAAAGGGCAGUUUCUAUCCUU